UGAAGAGGUGCAGUGGGGCGAGCCACGACCUCGUCACAUGAGAGACACCAAGACCAGAGCACAGGAAGACACCCUACAGAUCCGCGUGGACGGGAACGAGCGCAGUGUGCAGCACGCCUCGGGGGGCCGAGGAGGAGGAGGAGGAGGGCCUUCCUCCUCACAGGGGGGUGUUGGUGCCGGGGGCGACGGCCCCUCGCGCCACCACCACCGGCCUGUCAGAGAACGAGGCAUGAAGAAAGACAAACAGGACGCUCCUCCGUUGGUGAACGGAGUGUCGUAGAUACACCACUGGAGGACAUGCAGUACUCACUUCAGCAAGCAGACACACACUCUGACACACACACACACACAUACACACGCACACACACAUACACGUUCACAAACACACACAGAUAGCUUGUCAUAAUCCAUGGUAGGGUCUGGCUCUCUCUCGCUCUUUCUUUCUCUGUCUUUCUCACACACACGCAUACACCCACAUUUCCAUCAGCGUGGAAGAGUUUACCGUCGUGACUUUGGAAGCCAGAGCUGGUCUGGUGUCUGCUGGACUUGUCUGUUCUUGACUGAUUUUUGGUAUCUACUGACCUGCUUUGGAGUGAACAAGAAAAAGAAGCAGUACAUUUUGGACCUAAGCUAAAACAAAAACAGAACGGAAAGGAAGAAGAGGGAUUUGACUGGAGCUGAGCUGGGCAUCAACCCCUGGACCCACCACCUCCCCGCAUCCACCGACUUGUUUUUCCCCCCCAGGACUAGUUUUGCAGUAAAUGGGUUCAAGCGAGUUCGCACUGAAUACGUUUUUUUUUUUUUUUUUAAUGAAACAGGACAGUUUUGAAUUUAACACCUCACUGCCCUGUUUGGACAUGCCAGCAUAAGAAAAAGCAAAUCAAAAAACAGUCAUGUAUUGAACGCUCAAACCCGCCCAUUAAAGAGCUCAGUGGUUCUCAAGACAAAACAGGAGUGACACUGAAUUCCCGCUGUAACAGGCAAAGAUUCCCACGAUCCCCCACCUUUUACUCGGCCAAGCUGAGAUUGUCGUUUUUUGGAGAUGAUCCGUCUCUGCAUCAUAUUUGAGAUGAGUUAAGCAAAAUUCCAUCUGGGAGAGGACAUCAGUAGAUAUUCCAGUAUUAAGUUUAACCCUGGCACCAGUUUGACAAUUGAGGAGUGCAUGCCUUUACUAUCAGCAGAACAGAGAGGAGUUCAACUGAGGUGUGCUCGUUUCUCAUUUCUAUUUUUGCUAAGCGGAGCCAUCUAAGGUUCUCAUCUAUUCUAGCUGUAGGCAUCCAUUUUUGUUUUUCAGGAUGAAUUGUAGUGGAAAGGUAUGUGUGUAUUUUGUUUGUUUUGUUCAGUGACGUUUUUGGGAGCUCUUGAAAUGAGCCAGCAUAUACUAAUCACAUCAGUGAGAUCAUGAAUAAUGUGUUUUUUCUUUGUUGCCUAGGUCAUUUAAAAGUCCCUUUUUUAUUCUCUUCUACUAUCAGACCAUGCAUCCAUUGGUACUUUGGGCUUGAAGCACUAGUUUGCAAGGCUGUUUACUUUUAAAUACUUUAAAAACUGCAUUCUUCUUCUUCUUUUUUUUUUUUUUUUUUUUUUUUUUUUUUUUUUUUG
RNAcentral lists this long non-coding RNA (1599 nucleotides) under Myripristis murdjan (pinecone soldierfish). Its description in RNAcentral is "lncRNA (ENSMMDG00005014113.1)". The record is from RNAcentral. Lineage: Eukaryota; Metazoa; Chordata; Actinopteri; Holocentriformes; Holocentridae.